CUGGACUAAGGAAGCCGAGAAGGUGGUUCUGCGAAACGAACUGGAUUAGGUGGCCGGGUAUGGGCGCCCUCUUAGGAAAGAACGUCUAUAAAUACAGAAACAUGGCAUUGCCACGAUUGUGUUUCUUCUCGCUUCCGGAAUGUUACCAUUUCAGCGGCCGUGGUUCUGUCUCCGAAGUCACUCCCUGGCUGGGAGAGGUGAGUGAAAUGAUAAGGACGUAAAUCCCUUCUUUCUAACGAAAGCCACUACGGCAAAAGACUAAAUAAAUAGACAGUCUGAA
Molecule: long non-coding RNA, 280 nt
Organism: Dipodomys ordii (Ord's kangaroo rat)
Lineage: Eukaryota; Metazoa; Chordata; Mammalia; Rodentia; Heteromyidae
Exons: 2
Source: RefSeq, a predicted model, not a curated record